RNAcentral lists this ribosomal RNA (271 nucleotides) under uncultured bacterium. RNAcentral's name for it is "partial 16S ribosomal RNA". It matches the Rfam family "Bacterial small subunit ribosomal RNA", at positions 524 to 794 of the family's 1533-position model. The record is from RNAcentral.
UACGGAGGGUGCAAGCGUUAAUCGGAAUUACUGGGCGUAAAGCGCGCGUAGGCGGCUUGUUAAGUCGGAUGUGAAAUCCCCGGGCUCAACCUGGGAACUGCAUUCGAUACUGGCUGGCUAGAGUGUGGUAGAGGGAAGUGGAAUUCCAGGUGUAGCGGUGAAAUGCGUAGAUAUGCGGAGGAACACCGAUGGCGAAGGCAAUCCCCUGGGCCUGCACUGACGCUCAUGCACGAAAGCGUGGGGAGCAAACAGGAUUAGAAACCCUAGUAGU